Dreissena polymorpha is the source of this 1809-nucleotide long non-coding RNA. RefSeq lists it as uncharacterized. The record is from RefSeq and is a predicted model, not a curated record. The transcript has 2 exons. Lineage: Eukaryota; Metazoa; Mollusca; Bivalvia; Myida; Dreissenidae.
GUGGAGUCUAGAAUGGAUCCUUUUAUUUUGCUAUAUAGGAUACCACUAAAGUUGGCCGUAAAAAGGCGGCCUCACCGCAAAGUAGUCGUAUUUCCAAGAUGUCUGUCAAGUCUGUCAAAGAAUGCUGAAUGGAACGAAUGUUUCUCGACGGUCCAGAAUGGGCUAAAGACUAAAUAAAAUUAUAAGAGUGAAGCGAAUUGUCGUCAAUUGAAUUGGAACUAAAAACUGUUGCGAAAAUUCAGAUUGUUGAGCAAGGCGUUCAUGCCAGAAGGUUUACAUCCAAUAUUGCCCAGGGGGACAGUAAUUAGAACAAUUUAUUUAAGUUUGUGUGGACACAGAGGCUUGAAUGUAGAAAUCAAAGAGUGGACAUGCGUAUAAAAUAUCGCCAACAGACCAUGGACGGAUAAAGAGAAAAAUCUACUAUUGUGAUUGAAAGUUGAAAAUAAACAGCAAAAAAACUUCAAAUAGAAAUUUAAACAUACAAGAAGUAGGACCUUGACCAUGCCUCAACAACAUCAGGAUCAAGAAGUCAAACAUGCAAUAUUAAUUCACAUGCUUGUAGCUAAUAGCACACGAGCAUUAGCAAGUGAAGGAGAGAAACAAUAACUAAUGACCAUAAAAUUCUAUAUUGAUACUUAUCAAAAUUGGAUCCAUUCUGAACAACUCCAAGAGUCUAGCCAGCUCUAUUGAUACUUAAAAAUUGGAUCCAAUCUGGAAAUUGUAAGAGUCUAGCCAGCUCUAUUGAUACUAACCAAAAUUGGAUCCAUUCUGGAGACUUUCAAGUGUGUAGCCAGCUCUAUUGAUAUUGACCAAAACUCGAUCCAUUCUGGACAUUUGCAAGAGUGUAUCCAGUCCUGUUGAAAUUGACUGAGUUUUGAUCCAUUCUGGACAUUUUCAAGAGUGAAGCCAGCUCUAUUGUUACUUACUAAAAUUGGAUCAAUUGUGGACACUUUCAAGACUCUAGCUAGCUCUAUUGAUACUUACCAAAAUUUGAUCCAUUCGGGACAAUUUUAAGAGUCAAGCCAGCUGUAUUGGUACUCACCAAAAUUGGAUCCAUUCUUGACAACUUCAAGACUCUAACUAGCUCUCUUGAUACUUACCAAAAUUUGAUCUAUUCUAUACAAAUUCAAGAGUCUAGCCAGCUCUAUUGAUACUUACCAAAAUUGGAUCCAUUCUGGACAAUUUCAAGAGUCUAGCAAGCUCUAUUGAUACUUACAGAAAAUGGAUCCAAUCUAGACAAUUUCAAGAGUCAAGCCAGCUCUCUUGAUACUUACCAAAUUGGAUCCACUCUGGACAAUUUCAAGAGUCUAGCCAGCUCUAUUGAUAAUUUCCAAAAUUGGAUCCAUUCUUAACAAUUUCAAGAGUCGUACUGUGUAGCGUAAUUGCACAUUGUUCGUUGAUAUCACACAGUAAUAACCAACAAAGUUCAUUUCUGAUUUCUUUGCGUUUUAUUUCUGCUUAUUAACACAACACAACGUUUCCAAAAUGUUUGUCAAAUACAAGAUACAUGCGAAGCCCGCAAUGGGCCCAUCCCGCGAAAGCCAGCAAUAAUGCGACUUGUAUGUUCGGCCGUUUAAGUAAGACUCUCCUUCAUACAACGCAGAUGCCAAUUUAUACAAUAAUGGACAAAUAAAUUGGGUGACGGCUGUCUGGAUGAUUGACUUUAACAUGAGUUGAAUUACCUGAUACGGGAUGGCUUUAUGUGUGACUUACAUAUCUUGUGCAUAUAUAUGCCAAUAAUUAAGCGAGACCACGUUUGUUUAACUGUCACCUGUCAUUUAACAUGAAAAUAUACACAAAUUAACAGUG